GAGUACAGCGGCGUAAGGGUGAGUAAUGGUUCGUCAACGUACCGAGCAGACGCGAAUAAUUUCCCGAAAGGGAUUGUAAUGCGCGAUGAGACCACGUGGUGCACGCACUGUGGGGUCAAAGGUCGGGGAUCCUUUCGGGACCCGGCGCUGUUUGAGCGGACGAACUCUGAUUAGCUAGUUGGCGGGGUAACGGCCCACCAAGGCGAUGAUCAGUAGCCGGGCUGAGAGGCUGUCCGGCCACACGGGCACUGAGAUACUGGCCCGACUCCUACGGGAGGCUGCAGUCGCGAAUUUUUCACAAUGGGCGCAAGCCUGAUGAAGCCACGCCGCGUGCGGGAUGAAGGCCCUUUGGGUUGUAAACCGCUGUCGAGGGAGGGGAACCGCUGCAGGUGAAUAGUCUGCAGUCUGACUGCUCUCUGAAGGAAGCCCCGGCAAAACAUGUGCCAGCAGCCGCGGUAAUACAUGUGGGGCAAGCGUUGUUCGGAAUUACUGGGCAUAAAGGGUGCGUAGGUGGUUUGUUAAGUCAGGGGUGAAAUCCCUGGGCUCAACUCAGGGGGGUCGGCUGAAACUGCCGUUCUUGAGGGAUGCAGAGGAGACUGGAAUUCCCGGUGUAGCGGUGAAAUGUGUAGAGAUCGGGAGGAACACCGGUGGCGAAGGCGGGUCUCUGGGCAUUCCCUGACGCUGAGGCGCGAAAGCGUGGGGAGCAAACGGGAUUAGAUACCCCGGUAGUCCACGCGGUAAACGAUGACGACUAGGUGUGGGGGGGUUAAGUCCCUUCCGUGCCGCAGCUAACGCAUUAA
Molecule: ribosomal RNA, 800 nt
Filed under: uncultured Planctomycetales bacterium
Lineage: Bacteria; Pseudomonadati; Planctomycetota; Planctomycetia; Planctomycetales
Description: bacterial SSU rRNA
Rfam family: Bacterial small subunit ribosomal RNA
Source: RNAcentral